UACUUGCCAUCAUCAAAAUCAUUGGCACUUGAUGGCGAGAGAGAAAAAUACUUACAUCAAUUGACUCAUGCCUUCUCCCUAUUUAAAAAGUUGUUAAGAUACAGGUUUAAAAUAAAAAUGAAUAUACAUAAAUCAUAAUGCAAGGAAAAUACAUAUGUACAUAAUAUCAUCACACCUUAUUUCUAUAUUGUCACUGGAUUCACAAUAAAGUCAUAACAGCACUGCAAUGACAAUAGCAAAAAAACUCCUGCCUGGUGAAAAGUAGCAUUAGAAAACAUAUAGUUUCCCUGACAGAGCAGUAUUUAAAAGUCAUUCUAAUUUUUUUUUUUGAUCACUUUAGCAUAAACAUAAAAUAUUUAAGCUAUUUUGAGUUAUCUUGAAUCUGCUGCUGUUUACAAAAUGUAAAUUCAUCAAAGUUGACAGAAUUACUCUGGUUUACAGUUGGAGGAAUUGAGGAAGAAUUUGGCGUUUUGAUUAAAUCUUUAACAUGCAAUUUACCUUUCAUAUACACAAAGCACACGGGCUCUCAGGCAGAAGAUAAGCAUGUAAUAAAUCAGCUUACAUUUUUUUCAGCUCUUACUCACAGCGGAAUCCCCAAAAUUCAUUUUAUUUUAUCUUUUUCCCACUCUUCAGCUUUUUCUCUUUCAUUUUCCUUCCUCUUCUUCAAUCACCACAGGUUUGCAUUUCUCAUUUUCUAUUUUACAUCACUCCGCUUUGCUCUCUACAAUGGAAAGACAGUCAGAAAAAAAAGGCAGACAGACAGACAGAACGGAGAGAGAUGCAGCCACUUGAAGGUGCUGCCCUGAACUUUCUGGUGUAGUUCCAGUGAUGGUCAAGUUUGGACAUGAAGAAGCAAAGACCCUGGUAGGACUUAUCAAUAAGGAUGCUUGAAUGAACUGGCAUGAGUUGUUGCACAAGAGAGGAACAGUUAUAUUUCAGUCAGGAGUUUGGCAGCAUGUGCAGUGCUCACUGAUAUAACUUUCAAAAUACAUCUCACCCCAGCUCCAGGUUUAAAAAACGUCAUUGUAAGCAACACUGAGCUAAAUUCAUCUGCUCCCAGCCAACCAAUACACCCUCAUUGGUUUGUGUAAUCUGUUAGAAAUUAUCUGGAUUUCCUGGUUAACAAGAGGGAGAUUUCACCACUAUGUGCUUGUCAGCUGGUUAACCUAACAGCAGAAAGUAGCUCAGCAGCAGCAGAGAGCCCCUCAGGGAAAGAAUCACACCUCCUCAGUCCUCAGCCAAUCUUCCAGACAAAAGCAAAAGAGUGACCAGCAAAGUCUGGACAUUUACGUGGGAAAAGGAAAGGUGAGAGGACAGAUUCUCCAGUUUGCUCUGUGAAGCUAAAGCAAAUACUAAAGGUAAAGGGAAAAAAAAUGUUGUACAGUGUCUGAGAAGGGAAAAGGAAGACAAUACACUGUGCAUUGUUCUCAACAGCUGACAUCAGUCAGGAUGGUUACUAUCAUCUUCACAUCUCAUCUGGAAAGUUUUGACUAGCAGAAUUUAUUUUUUGACAGGAAGUCUAGACCUCACUCUAAUUCAGUGGCUGGAAUUUCUUGAGGCAAUAUUAUGUUAAACCAAACAAGAUAACAAUACAGCCCUGGGUGCAGCACUCUCAGAAACACAAUAUGCGGAGAGGCAGCACUUUGUAAAGUUAUCAAAGCACAGCCCAAGUGCUGCUGUCAUCACCACCCAGCAGCUCCAGCUUCUCUGCUUUAUUUAUUGCUGUUCACUGUAUUCAGCUUAAACAGAGAGUGCUGAUUUCCCUCUUUCACCAGGGAGGAAGGCCGUCUCAGAAGGGAGGGUCUC
Molecule: long non-coding RNA, 1806 nt
Filed under: Anas platyrhynchos platyrhynchos (common mallard)
Lineage: Eukaryota; Metazoa; Chordata; Aves; Anseriformes; Anatidae
Description: lncRNA (ENSAPLG00000022975.1)
Source: RNAcentral